This 410-nucleotide ribosomal RNA is filed under the name uncultured bacterium. Its description in RNAcentral is "bacterial SSU rRNA". It matches the Rfam family "Bacterial small subunit ribosomal RNA", at positions 28 to 417 of the family's 1533-position model. The record is from RNAcentral.
GACGAACGCUGGCGGCGUGCUUAACACAUGCAAGUCGAACGGAGUACCCGGAAUCGAAGCUUCGGCAGAUUUUCUGGACUACUUAGUGGCGAACGGGUGAGUAACGCGUGAGAAACCUGCCUUUCAGUGGGGGGACAACAGUUGGAAACGACUGCUAAUACCGCAUAACGCAUUUAGGGGGCAUCCCUUGAAUGCCAAAGCUUUAUGUGCUGAAAGAUGGUCUUGCGUCUGAUUAGCUAGAUGGCGGGGUAACGGCCCACCAUGGCGACGAUCAGUAGCCGGUCUGAGAGGAUGAACGGCCACAUUGGGACUGAGAUACGGCCCAGACUCCUACGGGAGGCAGCAGUGGGGAAUAUUGGGGCAAUGGGGGAAACCCUGACCCAGCAACGCCGCGUGAAGGAAGAAGGCCU